RNAcentral lists this ribosomal RNA (253 nucleotides) under uncultured prokaryote. RNAcentral's name for it is "partial 16S ribosomal RNA". It matches the Rfam family "Bacterial small subunit ribosomal RNA", at positions 524 to 776 of the family's 1533-position model. The record is from RNAcentral.
UACAGAGGUCCCAAGCGUUGUUCGGAUUCAUUGGGCGUAAAGGGCGCGUAGGCGGCGCCACAAGUCACUUGUGAAAACUCUGGGCUCAACUCAGAGCCUGCAAGCGAAACUGUGGUGCUGGAGUAUGGGAGAGGUGCGUGGAAUUCCCGGUGUAGCGGUGAAAUGCGUAGAGAUCGGGAGGAACAUCAGUGGCAAAGGCGGCCAUCUGGGACAACACUGACGCUGAGGCACGAAAGCGUGGGGAGCAAACAGG